CAUGCAUCGGUGGGGUCCCUCGGCCUGGUCUGUGGGGAUUUGCCAAUCUGACAUCCUCCAACGGGUUCUGGAUUACGGGAGGGUGCAGGCCAGGCUGAGGGACCUCACCAGUGCACA
Molecule: microRNA precursor, 117 nt
Filed under: Myotis brandtii (Brandt's bat)
Lineage: Eukaryota; Metazoa; Chordata; Mammalia; Chiroptera; Vespertilionidae
Description: mir-9193 microRNA precursor family
Rfam family: mir-9193 microRNA precursor family
Source: Rfam by way of RNAcentral